GUGCGCGAACGGGGGCUUCGGCUCCUUAUUAGAGCGGCGAACUGGUGAGUACAAGAUGAAUAACGUACCCUUAAGUGGGGAAUAACCUCGGGAAACCGGGGAUAAUACCGCAUGUGUUCGACGGUUUAGUUAUCGUUGAACAAAGCAGCAAUGCGCUAAAGGAUCGGUUCAUCUCCCAUUAGCUAGUUGGUGUGGUAAUGGCGCACCAAGGCAACGAUGGGUAGCUGGUCUGAGAGGAUGGUCGCCCACACUGGGAUUGAGAUACGGCCCAGACUCCUACGGGAGGCAGCAGUCGAGAAUAGUCUACAAUGGACGGAAGUCUGAUAGUGCGACGCCGCGUGAACGAAGAAUCCCUUCGGGGUGUAAAGUUCUUUUAUACGUGAGCAGUGUCCUUUAUAUUAAUAGUAUAAGGGGAGAGAUAUUAGCGUAUGAAUAAGCAACGGCUAACUCCGUGCCAGCAGCCGCGGUAACACGGGGGUUGCGAGCGUUGUCCGGAAUUACUAGGCGUAAAGUGCAGGUAGGCGGAUAAAUAAGUUUAAGGUUAAAGGCUACGGCUUACCCGUAGUAAGGCGUUAGAUACUGUUUAUCUGGAAUGCGGUUGAGGGAGACAGAAUUCCUGGUGUAGCGGUGGAAUGCGCAGAGAUCAGGAGGAAUACCGAAGGCGAAGGCAGUCUUCUAAGCCGAUAUUGACGCUAAACUGCGAAGGUGUGGGGAUCAAACAGGAUUAGAUACCCUGGUAGUCCACACAGUAAACGAUAAUCACUAGGUGUUGGGUUCUUAAGAGGAUUCAGUGCCGGAGCUAACGCGAUAAGUGAUUCGCCUGGGGAGUACGAUCGCAAGGUUGAAACUCAAAGGAAUUGACGGGGGCCCGCACAAGCGGUGGAGCAUGUGGUUUAAUUCGACGCAACGCGAAGAACCUUACCCGGUCUUGACAUCUGCAGAAUUCUUCAGAGAUGGAGGAGUGCCGGUUUUACCGGAGCUGCAAGACAGGUGCUGCAUGGCUGUCGUCAGCUCGUGUCGUGAGAUGUUGGGUUAAGUCCCGCAACGAGCGCAACCCCUGCUUUCAGUUACCAUCAUUAAGUUGGGGACUCUGGAAGGACCGCUGCGGUAACAACGCAGAGGAAGAUGGGGACGACGUCAAGUCAUCAUGGUCCUUAUGACCGGGGCUACACACGUGCUACAAUGGUAGUUACAGAGGGAUGCGAAGCAGUGAUGUGGAGCGAAUCUCAGAAAAGCUACCACAGUUCGGAUUGAGGUCUGCAACUCGACCUCAUGAAGCAGGAAUCGCUAGUAAUCGCGCAACAUCAUGGCGCGGUGAAUACGUUCCCGGGCC
Molecule: ribosomal RNA, 1333 nt
Filed under: uncultured bacterium
Lineage: Bacteria
Description: bacterial SSU rRNA
Rfam family: Bacterial small subunit ribosomal RNA
Source: RNAcentral